This 498-nucleotide ribosomal RNA is filed under the name uncultured bacterium. Its description in RNAcentral is "partial 16S ribosomal RNA". It matches the Rfam family "Bacterial small subunit ribosomal RNA", at positions 30 to 523 of the family's 1533-position model. The record is from RNAcentral.
AUUGAACGCUGGCGGCAUGCUUUACACAUGCAAGUCGAACGGUAACAGGCCUUCGGGCGCUGACGAGUGGCGAACGGGUGAGUAAUGCAUCGGAACGUGCCCAGUCGUGGGGGAUAACUGCUCGAAAGAGCAGCUAAUACCGCAUACGAUCUGCGGAUGAAAGCGGGGGGCCUUCGGGCCUCGCGCGAUUGGAGCGGCCGACGUCAGAUUAGGUAGUUGGUGGGGUAAAGGCUCACCAAGCCAACGAUCUGUAGCUGGUCUGAGAGGACGACCAGCCACACUGGGACGGAGACACGGCCCAGACUCCUACGGGAGGCAGCAGUGGGGAAUUUUGGACAAUGGGCGCAAGCCUGAUCCAGCAAUGCCGCGUGCAGGAAGAAGGCCUUCGGGUUGUAAACUGCUUUUGUACGGAACGAAACGGUCUGGGUUAAUACCCUGGGCUAAUGACGGUACCGUAAGAAUAAGCACCGGCUAACUACGUGCCAGCAGCCGCCGUAA